CGACCUAUCCGAUCGUCGGGUACCAUUGCUAGAUGGUCACUUCGAUUAGUACAGAAAUUGAUUCCUGUGCUACCGGCUUAGGUUCGAACCUGUGGGGUCACACACAUUAGAGGUUCCUUUCUGAUCUGAUGGCUGAUUAUGAGUCUUAUAUGUUUGGGACUCUAUGAUUGAGAAUUAAGAUUCUCUGAUCAUGAGUUCCAUACAUUUUGGGUACUGGGGUCAAAAUUU
This 228-nucleotide long non-coding RNA is filed under the name Elaeis guineensis (African oil palm). RNAcentral describes it as "long non-coding RNA (EGUI_LNC053149)". Lineage: Eukaryota; Viridiplantae; Streptophyta; Magnoliopsida; Arecales; Arecaceae. The record is from RNAcentral.